UGGGGAAUUUUGGACAAUUGGGCGAAAGCCUGAUCCAGCAAUGCCGCGUGUGUGAAGAAGGCCUUCGGGUUGUAAAGCACUUUUGUCCGGAAAGAAAUCCUUGGCUCUAAUACAGUCGGGGGAUGACGGUACCGGAAGAAUAAGCACCGGCUAACUACGUGCCAGCAGCCGCGGUAAUACGUAGGGUGCAAGCGUUAAUCGGAAUUACUGGGCGUAAAGCGUGCGCAGGCGGUUUGCUAAGACCGAUGUGAAAUCCCCGGGCUCAACCUGGGAACUGCAUUGGUGACUGGCAGGCUAGAGUAUGGCAGAGGGGGGUAGAAUUCCACGUGUAGCAGUGAAAUGCGUAGAGAUGUGGAGGAAUACCGAUGGCGAAGGCAGCCCCCUGGCAAGUACUGACGCUCAUGCACGAAAGCGUGGGGAGCAAACNGGAUUAAUACCCUGGUAGUCCACGCCCUAAAANGAUGUCAACUAGUUGUUGGGGGAUUCAUUUUCCUUAGUAACGUAGCUAACGCGUGAAGUUGACCGCCUGGGGAGUACGGUCGCAAGAUUAAAACUCAAAUAAUUGACGGGGUCAUGCUG
This 579-nucleotide ribosomal RNA is filed under the name uncultured bacterium. RNAcentral's name for it is "partial 16S ribosomal RNA". It matches the Rfam family "Bacterial small subunit ribosomal RNA", at positions 355 to 926 of the family's 1533-position model. The record is from RNAcentral.